RNAcentral lists this ribosomal RNA (500 nucleotides) under uncultured bacterium. RNAcentral's name for it is "partial 16S ribosomal RNA". It matches the Rfam family "Bacterial small subunit ribosomal RNA", at positions 30 to 523 of the family's 1533-position model. The record is from RNAcentral.
AUUGAACGCUGGCGGCAGGCUUAACACAUGCAAGUCGAGCGGGGGAAGGUAGCUUGCUACCGGACCUAGCGGCGGACGGGUGAGUAAUGCUUAGGAAUCUGCCUAUUAGUGGGGGACAACAUCUCGAAAGGGAUGCUAAUACCGCAUACGUCCUACGGGAGAAAGCAGGGGAUCUUCGGACCUUGCGCUAAUAGAUGAGCCUAAGUCGGAUUAGCUAGUUGGUGGGGUGAAGGCCUACCAAGGCGACGAUCUGUAGCGGGUCUGAGAGGAUGAUCCGCCACACUGGGACUGAGACACGGCCCAGACUCCUACGGGAGGCAGCAGUGGGGAAUAUUGGACAAUGGGGGGAACCCUGAUCCAGCCACGCCGCGUGUGUGAAGAAGGCCUAUGGUUGUAAAGCACUUUAAGCGAGGAGGAGGCUACUCUAGUUAAUACCUAGGGAUAGUGGACGUUACUCGCAGAAUAAGCACCGGCUAGCUCUGUGCCAGCCGCCGCGGUAA